Molecule: small RNA, 4287 nt
Filed under: Rattus norvegicus (Norway rat)
Lineage: Eukaryota; Metazoa; Chordata; Mammalia; Rodentia; Muridae
Description: uncharacterized LOC102550182
Source: RNAcentral
ACUCUGACCUCUGACUGUUCGCACAAAUGUCCUUCAGUGAUUCCUGAAAUCUGGUUGGUUUGAGACAGUUGUCUUUCGUGGUUUUGUUUGUUUGUUUUUUGUUAUUGUUUUUAUUUAUUUUUUUUUUUUUGGUUGUUUUGCCCUGAAGUUUCAAAUCAACGUGCAGGGCCGGACUCUUUCUUUUUAGGCCGAGGGGUUGCCCACACAAAGGACCAAAAGGCUCCAUCACUGUGUGACAGAUGAUCAGAUUCUGAAGUUGGUGCAUGGUUUGUAAUUAAAGGUGUGCUUAUAAGAGAGAGAAUCUAAGAUUUGAAAUUUUUUCGGCGAUCAAUGGUUCCUAGCUAUAGUCUAGGCCUCCGAUAUAAAGACGCUUCGGUAAGCUUGAUGAUUACAGGGGGGCAAACACAGUCAACUAUUUUCUACUUACAGGAAAUAGUAACAUUGAAAAAGCCACAUUAUUUGAAAAGAGUUGAAAUUCAGCUGCUUUAGGGUAUAAUGUAAAUUCAUUAGAACAUAAUGAUUUGUUCUAGUAUUUAAACAAUUUUGUGUUUCUUUCUUUAACAUAUUUUAACACAAAUUUUAGUAAAAGGAAAUUAUGCAAGACUUGGUUUAUAGACUUAAACCUGUGUAUAGAUUUCUUUGCUGUCAUAUUAAAAAUAUAUCCAGAAUUGCAUUGUGAACACACCUGUGCUUUCUGUAUUUGCCAGGGCAUAGGACAUCUAUGAAACUUUAUAUCACUUGGUUAUAGAGAAAACACUGUUGUAAUUUGAGUUCAGACCAAUUCAAUCACAUGUAAAGUACCAGCUGAAAGACAUUUCGAGUAGUGUGUAAUUUACAAUGAGGUUUUUCGAUUGUUUUAUUUUUUUUCUUUCCAUUUUCCCCAUUCCAUUCUUCUGAUAUCAGGAGUGGCUAAAGAGGUGUAUAACAUUCAGAGGUUAGAAAGAAAAAAGAGAGUGAAACUUGGCAUAAAGAACCAAGAAGUGGUGAAUAGGAGUCUGCCAUUUAGAGAAAGCAACAGGCCUUUGCAGUACAGAAUAGAGUAUCCUAGGAAACACCGAGAAGAAUUUCCUCAGCAGGCUUGUGUUACGUAGUCCAAUGACAUUUAACCAACUAGAGAUUUCAAUCUCAUUUCUGUGGAAACCUUUGCCGUGAAAAAUCUGUGGCAGCCAGAAGAGGUGGUUCAGGCUUAUGCUCUCGACACUCUGGAUUGACGCAGGUGGAAUGAGGCCAGCUCGUGCUAAUAUGAGCUUCUGUUUCAAAAUCCUCAAAAGUCUCUAGCUGUGCCUUGGGACUGAGCUGCAGGGGCACAGGACUACUUGCAUCCAAAGUUAAAGGGAGACAAGGAUUUUCAUGAAAAUUCUACUAGCUCUUCAAUGUGUGGACAGUGAUGUGUACAGUCCUCUAAAGCAAGGAUCUCAGAAGGAUGGGACACUGUCGGAUGAGGGAACCACUGAGGCCUUCAGAGCUAUGUCAGAGUAAUUAGAUUGGCUUUGGUCUCUUUAAUGUGCACACACAGAAAAUAGCCUUUUCUCUUUGGGGGCUUGAAGGAAAAAGAACCAGCACUGCCCAUGAAGAAAGUGAGUCUGAAGAGACUUCAUGAGCAACCAGGUUAUCCAAAUGAAGCUACUCACAUGACCUUGUGGGAAAAUAGGAGACUCACUUCCUAUGAGGACAGCCAGGACCUAUGUGGCUGGCCUUAAAGAAAAGUUGGUGAGGUGGUAGGCACCACACAACCUGUAGAGAGGAAGGUAGAGUACAGCAACAGGGAAGAAUGGAGGGCAAAGUAUUUGAUUAUCCACAUAGUCUAUUCUAUAAUUGAAACAGUCCUUAUGUAACCUGCUACUGUUUAUAGUGAUUAUAUAUCAGUGAGGGAAAAAAUGGCAUAAUUAAUUUUUUCCCAUUCAGCUGUGUGAUAGUUAAUCUUCAUUAUCGAGUUACUGGAUUUAGAAUCACCUAGGAGACAUAUUCUGAACGCGUUUUUAGAGCUUCCGGAGAGGUUUAAUUAGAAUGAAAGUCUAACUAGAAUGGUGCGAUUCUGUAAGUAAAAAGGAUUGAAUAUAAAAGAAAAAAAGAAAGCGAACAUUCCUUUUUCUCUCCUUUCGGAUUGCAGAUACUUCUCAGAAUCAUGACAUCAUCCUCAUGCCACCGACUGUGUCUCCUCAAAACACUUCCUGACUGCAAUUCCACAUUUUGAAACAAAUGGACCCACCUCUGCCUCUGUUCUGACGUGGAAUCCGCAGAAGGAAAUCAGAUACAGUUGGUGAUGUGUGAUAAGACGGUGUUCACAGAGACAUUAAUAACAGAGCUGAGCUGUGGCAGAUGAACACAUACUUUCCAGGUGAAAAGACAGAGACAACGAAGUGGAACAGCUUGGCAUGCAUCUCUGCUGUAAAACCCCUCACGGCAUACAAGUGACUUCUAUUCAAUGUGGCAUGAAUGGCAAGUAAAUGAAGGCUUUCAGUGUAAUGAGUUUGAAAAGGCUAACGGGAGGUUCCUGGACCAGAGGCUCACAAGUUAAGGGGAUUGCAGCUUACCACUUGCCUAUCAAAAGUGUAUGACUAACAGCAGGAAGGAUGAGCAGAUUCGUGUAUCAGAAGAAUACGGGAUGGAGUAUGGGCAGAUGUGCCUUGGGGAAGAAGCUGUAAGGCACAGGGUACAACUUGGAAAAGAUCACUGUCUGUGAGCACGGUCAUGUGACCUUUACUUUGUACUAGACAAGGUGGCUGGGCGCUGCCCAGGUGGUCUGCAAGCAGAUUCAAGGCCCGAUAUCCAAGUGGGAGCUGAUGAAAGUGAGAAGGGCUAUCUAAAUGGUGGGCUGAUAUCUUUGAUAUUAUUCUGGGAGGAAUCAUGGGAACAUUGGAAUAGUGAUGAGGUCCUUCUAGUCUUUAAUUAGUUUAAUUCAUAGUCCUUGGGAGAUAUGCAGGUUUGAUGUCCAGUGGAGAUGUGAGUUUGGAACUCAGGAUAAAGGUCUUAGAGGUGUCAGCAAAAGCCCUCUCCAUGAGAUGGAACCCAUCGCUGACACUGCUUGGGUGACAAGAACAUGAGAUUAGUUGUGUCAGAGACCUAAGGUAAGACCAAAUACUGCUGUUCUGCUAUAGGAAAUUAGCAAUAAAAUGCCUUCUAAUGAUGUUCUGCUAUACUCAUAGACCAGCCCCUUGCUCAGACAUCAUCAAAAAAGUUUUUUUCUGCAGCAGAUGGAACAAAUACAGAGGCCCACAACUGGACAAUGUGCACACACAAUCAAGGUGUCGCUAUCAAAUCUCUCCCCUCAAAGCUCAGGAAACCCUGCUGAAGAGGAGGUAGGAAGCUUGUAAGAGCCAGGUGCUUAUUUGUUUUCUAAUAACACAGAGAAAGAAAGAGUCUGGAUUUCAGUGGGAGGACUUGGGAGGGAAACCAUAAUCAGAAUACAGUGUAUUAAAAAAAUUCAACAAAUACAAUAGAAAAAGAAGAACUAUCAGCAAUACAUUGGAUAAUAUGAUUCAGGACUGGUAUGAAGAGUAAUUGCCAAAUAAACUCCACAAAACCCAAACCGAACCAAACCAAACCAAACCUAAAACUCUCACUAAAGAUGAGGAAAGGAACCAGAACUGACAAAGAAGAGAUUUAAGAAGCUACCCAGAGAUUUAUCAUUAUGAGUGCCAAGAAGGUCAUUGGCUAUUUUCACAACUCUUAUCAGGCAUUCAAUCAAUUCUGGAAGAAAGACUAAAAAUACAUGGUUGCUGUGUAUGUUUGAUGUAUGUAGGGCUGCCUGCUUGUCUGCAUGGGUAUCAUGCGUGUGCAGUGCUCAUGGAGGCAAGAAGAGGAAAGUGGAUACCUUAGGACUGGAGUUGUGGGCAGUUGUGAGCCAUCACCUAAGAUUUGAGAACUGAACUGAGGCCCCUGCAAGAACAGCAAGUGCUUCUCAACUCCUAGCAACCUCUCCAUCCUGACUGUAUGCAUUUUGAGGGAGACACGUAUCUGGAAAUGCUUGGAGCUCAGGAGAAACCCCAGCUGUUUGGAUUCAGGAUGCUCUUCGGUUCUUCCCUUUGAACGCUGCCCACACUCUCUCUUGAUCAGUCACUAGUAUUUUGUGACAUUCACAAGACUCCUUGUUUGUGAGCACAUUUCUCUCUCAAAAAUCAUUUAAUUAUUUUAUACAUGAAGAAAAUUGUUCUUCAACAGGAAAAAUGAGACCAGGCAUGGAAUAGGAAAACUAGAAGAGAACUAUACUGUACUGGUUGACUGUGUGUGUCAACUUGACACAAGCUGGAUCAAGGGUGGGGGGGGGCCCACUGUAGGUGGUGCCAU